This 1449-nucleotide ribosomal RNA is filed under the name uncultured organism. Its description in RNAcentral is "SSU rRNA". It matches the Rfam family "Bacterial small subunit ribosomal RNA". The record is from RNAcentral.
UGAACGCUAGCUACAGGCUUAACACAUGCAAGUCGAGGGGCAUCAGGAAGAAAGCUUGCUUUCUUUGCCGGCGACCGGCGCACGGGUGAGUAACACGUAUCCAACCUGCCCUUUACUCGGGGAUAGCCUUUCGAAAGAAAGAUUAAUACCCGAUAGUAUAAUGAUUCCGCAUGGUUUCAUUAUUAAAGGAUUCCGGUAAAGGAUGGGGAUGCGUUCCAUUAGGUUGUUGGUGAGGUAACGGCUCACCAAGCCUUCGAUGGAUAGGGGUUCUGAGAGGAAGGUCCCCCACAUUGGAACUGAGACACGGUCCAAACUCCUACGGGAGGCAGCAGUGAGGAAUAUUGGUCAAUGGGCGCUAGCCUGAACCAGCCAAGUAGCGUGAAGGAUGAAGGCUCUAUGGGUCGUAAACUUCUUUUAUAUAAGAAUAAAGUGCAGUAUGUAUACUGUUUUGUAUGUAUUAUAUGAAUAAGGAUCGGCUAACUCCGUGCCAGCAGCCGCGGUAAUACGGAGGAUCCGAGCGUUAUCCGGAUUUAUUGGGUUUAAAGGGAGCGUAGGUGGACUGGUAAGUCAGUUGUGAAAGUUUGCGGCUCAACCGUAAAAUUGCAGUUGAUACUGUCAGUCUUGAGUACAGUAGAGGUGGGCGGAAUUCGUGGUGUAGCGGUGAAAUGCUUAGAUAUCACGAAGAACUCCGAUUGCGAAGGCAGCUCACUGGACUGCAACUGACACUGAUGCUCGAAAGUGUGGGUAUCAAACAGGAUUAGAUACCCUGGUAGUCCACACAGUAAACGAUGAAUACUCGCUGUUUGCGAUAUACAGUAAGCGGCCAAGCGAAAGCAUUAAGUAUUCCACCUGGGGAGUACGCCGGCAACGGUGAAACUCAAAGGAAUUGACGGGGGCCCGCACAAGCGGAGGAACAUGUGGUUUAAUUCGAUGAUACGCGAGGAACCUUACCCGGGCUUAAAUUGCAGUGGAAUGAUGUGGAAACAUGUCAGUGAGCAAUCACCGCUGUGAAGGUGCUGCAUGGUUGUCGUCAGCUCGUGCCGUGAGGUGUCGGCUUAAGUGCCAUAACGAGCGCAACCCUUAUCUUCAGUUACUAACAGGUCAUGCUGAGGACUCUGGAGAGACUGCCGUCGUAAGAUGUGAGGAAGGUGGGGAUGACGUCAAAUCAGCACGGCCCUUACGUCCGGGGCUACACACGUGUUACAAUGGGGGGUACAGAAGGCAGCUAGCGGGUGACCGUAUGCUAAUCCCAAAAUCCUCUCUCAGUUCGGAUCGAAGUCUGCAACCCGACUUCGUGAAGCUGGAUUCGCUAGUAAUCGCGCAUCAGCCACGGCGCGGUGAAUACGUUCCCGGGCCUUGUACACACCGCCCGUCAAGCCAUGGGAGCCGGGGGUACCUGAAGUACGUAACCGCAAGGAUCGUCCUAGGGUAAAACUGGUGACUGGGGCU